GAGUUUAGCUCCAACCCUAAUUAAGCAGACCUGAGCAGCUGAUCAAGGAUCAGCAGAGACUCUGCAGAACAUUGGUCCUCCAGCCCAGGACUGGACACCAGUGUUAGUGUCUGUCUCAGAAGCUGAAGAAAAGAGGCCACACCUCAGAGGAAAUAAGUGCCUCCUAAGUGUACGGAAACACCUGGCUGAGAAGAUCAGUGACAUAAACCAGAUAAAACUGUCAGUGGUCUAAGACAGCUACAAUGAAGCCACAAACACAGUUCAUAGUUCCUGUAUUUCUAUAAUGCAUUAAUUAAUAACAAUAAUUAAAAAAAAAGUAAUGUAAAGGUUUUGUGUUAAUUCCAGCUAUGUUGAGUAUUCUGUGAAUAAUUUUGAUUUUAGGUGCAUAUUCUUAAUUCUGUGCAAAACAACCUGAACUGUUAGCUAUUGAAAUGUUGGUGUGUAGUUUAAAUAAAUAAAAAUGAUAUUCUUGACAAAACC
Long non-coding RNA from Cyprinus carpio (common carp), 480 nucleotides. RefSeq lists it as uncharacterized. The record is from RefSeq and is a predicted model, not a curated record. The transcript has 3 exons. NCBI's taxonomy places the organism in Eukaryota, Metazoa, Chordata, Actinopteri, Cypriniformes, Cyprinidae.